GACGAAGGGGGCUAGCGUUGUUCGGAAUUACUGGGCGUAAAGGGCUCGUAGGUGGCCAACUAAGUCAGACGUGAAAUCCCCAGGCUUAACCUGGGAACUGCGUCUGAUACUGGAUGGCUAGAGUUUGGGAGAGGGAUGCGGAAUUCCAGGUGUAGCGGUGAAAUGCGUAGAUAUCUGGAGGAACACCGGUGGCGAAGGCGGCAUCCUGGACCAACACUGACGCUGAGGAGCGAAAGCCAGGGGAGCAAACGGG
Molecule: ribosomal RNA, 253 nt
Filed under: uncultured bacterium
Lineage: Bacteria
Description: partial 16S ribosomal RNA
Rfam family: Bacterial small subunit ribosomal RNA
Source: RNAcentral